Molecule: long non-coding RNA, 737 nt
Organism: Lytechinus variegatus (green sea urchin)
Lineage: Eukaryota; Metazoa; Echinodermata; Echinoidea; Temnopleuroida; Toxopneustidae
Exons: 3
Source: RefSeq, a predicted model, not a curated record
UAUAAAUAGAUUACACUGCGACGUAUCUGCAAUCACGUGAAUCUUAUUCAAUCGACAUACCACGCAACUACACAAGACGAUUUUACCAUGCAACGGUGCUACAAACAAAUGAUACGAAUGGAUUUCGAAUCGUGUUCCAAGAUAUCUAUAUCAGAUAUACUAAUCAAAUCCAAAUAGGGAGAGGUACUGAUCCAUCUGAUCCACAGUCUGUCAUUACAAGCCUCUCUGGUACUAGCUCUUCUGAUGAUGUCUACGUGGAGACCGAUCAGAUGUGGAUUGCUCUCGUAGGAGGUCUGACUGACACCAAUCUUAAGAUUAAUGCGGACAUCAUUGCUUUCAACCUUUCAACCCUGUUUAAUUGCCCAUUGAGCAAUAUGAACGUGUCAUCAGAUGUUCUGUGUGAUGGAGUGUACCAUUGCGAUCAUUAUGAAGAUGAAUCGACAUGCAAUUACUCUACGACGUAUCUGCAGUCGGGUGAAUCAUAUUCAUUCAUCAUACCGCGCAACUAUACCAUAACGAUUUUACCACGCAUCUUUGCUUCAAACAAAUGAUACGAAUGGAUUUCGAAUCGUGUUCCAAGAUUUCUUGCUCUAUUCUAGUCAUCGAAUCCAAAUAGGGGCAGGUACCGAACCAUCUGAUCAACAAUCUGUCAUCACAACCAUCAAUGGAUACAGGAACUGCUGCCCUGUUGAUGUCUAUGUAGAGACCAAUAACAUUUGGAUUGCUGUCAUAGGCGG